This 274-nucleotide ribosomal RNA is filed under the name uncultured bacterium. RNAcentral describes it as "partial 16S ribosomal RNA". It matches the Rfam family "Bacterial small subunit ribosomal RNA", at positions 523 to 796 of the family's 1533-position model. The record is from RNAcentral.
CUACAGAGGGUGCAAGCGUUAUUCGGAAUUACUGGGCGUAAAGCGCGCGUAGGCGGAUGAUUAAGUCAGUUGUGAAAGCCCUGGGCUCAACCUAGGAACUGCAUCUGAUACUGGUCGUCUAGAGUUUAAGAGAGGGAAGCGGAAUUCCAGGUGUAGCAGUGAAAUGCGUAGAUAUCUGGAGGAACAUCAGUGGCGAAGGCGACUUCCUGGCUUAAAACUGACGCUGAGGUGCGAAAGCGUGGGUAGCGAACGGGAUUAGAAACCCUAGUAGUCC